This 1478-nucleotide long non-coding RNA is filed under the name Olea europaea (common olive). RNAcentral describes it as "long non-coding RNA (OEUR_LNC007833)". Lineage: Eukaryota; Viridiplantae; Streptophyta; Magnoliopsida; Lamiales; Oleaceae. The record is from RNAcentral.
AUGGGAAAAUAAUAUGCAGAAAUAAAUGGAAACUGAUGCAAAAAUAAUCUGCAGAAAUAAAUUGAAACUGAAUCUGCAAAGAAACUACACGAAUUGCAACGAAAUAAAUCUGCAGAAAGAAAACACAAACUGCAGCAAAUUUCAAACCGAGGUCUGUGCGUACACAGUUUCCUUAAGACAGUUUCGCCCUCUCACCGCAGGUGCUAGAAGUUCAGUUUGAGCAGCAGAAAAGAAGAAACUGUAUAUACAGGAAUGUAGUUGAGAUUUUUGAAUGUGUUAGAUUGUUGGAGAAUGAGCCUUUUUCUAGGCAUAUUGCCCAUUAAUACCAUUGGAAGUCUAUUGGAGUUUUUUCAGUUUAGAAACUCAAAAGUCAUUGAAGAAGACCAAAAAAAAUUGGCAAAACGUGGGCUCUCUGAUGAGGCCAUUUUUGCUUUGUUCGGUCCGACAUUCGUGUGUGCAGGUCGCGCCCGCAUCCAAGUUCAAGGUCCGAAUGCCAUUUUGGUUCGUGAUUUGCACCCCCUGCGCGCGCACGUGAAGAGAGCCUCUAUGCUACACAUGAUUACACAUCUUCAAAGCAUAGCUAUAUAUAAAGUGGUUUGAGUUUUUUUGAUUUUCCUAUGUGGAAUAAAUACAUUUUUUCCCACAAAACCAACUUUCAAUGACCAACUUUGAGUUCUAAUUUCUCAUUCACCCAAGUUUCAUUUUUGGCAAAUAAAUACAUGAAAUCGAUGUUCUCGCGGAGGAGAACACAUAUCAACUUUGAUAUUCCACAUUUGACCAACGGGUCCCAUCGAAAAUUGUGUCAAAAGUAAGCUGCUCACUCAAUUUUUUCCAACACAGUUAACAGAAUCAAUCCAACUCCACCACACGACCUUCAAACACUUACUCUUGGAACGAAGAUGAAAAUGAAAAUUAUAUGCAGAGUAAUACCAGGAAAAUGAACAAGAUGAAAUACUAAUUUCUUCAAAAUUUUCCUCCAGAACCAUGAACCGUAUGUGUCUGAGCCUGCAUAAACGGUACAUGAGUAAUUCACGUGGAGAAAUAAGUGUGGUAAAAUUCAAGAAAGAACGAACCAUGCCCUUCUGGCCUUUCAUAUCUUACCUGAAACUUUAUAGUUUAUUUAUAGAAUCAAUAAAACGAGUGUGCAAGUCCACAAUACGUUAAAAUGAAUAGGGAUUAUAUCAGGAUAUGAAAGCACAAAAUUCAAUAUUUAUUUCAUGAGCUAGAACAACCAAAGAUAAGAAUUUGGGUGUGCCCAUAGAAAAAUAGCAGAAACUUACUGUGGUUUGAUGAAGAAUGGGUCGUUGUAAAGGAAAUCUUGAAAGAGCUGAGGAGAGAUGAGUAGCCAUCUCUCUCUGUUUCUAUCUAUACAUCAGUAUAUUUAUCUCCUUGUAAUAAAAAAUUUCAAACUUAAAAAUAAAAAAUAUGUAUAAACUAAUAAACGUGGCAAAUGAGUGUUGUGUCCCAAACCGACGUGC